RNAcentral lists this transfer RNA (124 nucleotides) under Hanseniaspora osmophila. It matches the Rfam family "tRNA". Rfam says of the family: Transfer RNA (tRNA) molecules are approximately 80 nucleotides in length. Their secondary structure includes four short double-helical elements and three loops (D, anti-codon, and T loops). Further hydrogen bonds mediate the characteristic L-shaped molecular structure. tRNAs have two regions of fundamental functional importance: the anti-codon, which is responsible for specific mRNA codon recognition, and the 3' end, to which the tRNAs corresponding amino acid is attached (by aminoacyl-tRNA synthetases). tRNAs cope with the degeneracy of the genetic code in two manners: having more than one tRNA (with a specific anti-codon) for a particular amino acid; and 'wobble' base-pairing, i.e. permitting non-standard base-pairing at the 3rd anti-codon position. The record is from Rfam by way of RNAcentral. Lineage: Eukaryota; Fungi; Ascomycota; Saccharomycetes; Saccharomycodales; Saccharomycodaceae.
GUCUGAGUGGCCGAGUGGUUAAGGCGAUGCCCUGCUAUUAAUACAAUUAUGUCUCGCACAGAGUUAUAAUAAGAUAGCCAGGCAUUGGGUUUUACCUUCGCAGGUUCGAAUCCUGUCUCCGACG